This 252-nucleotide ribosomal RNA is filed under the name uncultured Oscillospiraceae bacterium. Its description in RNAcentral is "partial 16S ribosomal RNA". It matches the Rfam family "Bacterial small subunit ribosomal RNA", at positions 524 to 776 of the family's 1533-position model. The record is from RNAcentral. Lineage: Bacteria; Bacillati; Bacillota; Clostridia; Eubacteriales; Oscillospiraceae.
UACGGAGGAUCCGAGCGUUAUCCGGAUUUAUUGGGUUUAAAGGGAGCGUAGGCGGGAGGAUAAGUUGAAUGUGAAAUCUAUGGGCUCAACCCAUAGCUGCGUUCAAAACUGUUCUUCUUGAGUGAAGUAGAGGCAGGCGGAAUUCCUAGUGUAGCGGUGAAAUGCGUAGAUAUUAGGAGGAACACCAGUGGCGAAGGCGGCCUGCUGGGCUUUUACUGACGCUGAGGCACGAAAGCGUGGGGAGCAAAUAGG